UUUGUGUUUGUGUGUGUGCAUUGCUUACUUUGUUUAUUGCAUUUAUACUUCAGUUAUUUACUUAAGAAUUGUUUUAUUUCGCUAUACUUAGAAAAAAAGUUUUGAAAAAUCCAAUUCACCUGAUGGGGACAUCAGAGCCCUUCAUCCAGAUGAUCUUGAGCCCCCGGAUUGAGUCAGACCCGUUUAUUUGCAUAUUUAUUUUAUUAUUUUAUUUCUGGGCUUAUUUGCAUUCUAGGGUUUAUUUGUGGUUUAUUUUAUUUCUGGGCUUAUUUGCAUUUUAGGGCUUAUUUGUGGUUUAUUUGUGUUAUUUGUGGGUUUAUUAGGAUUUAUUUCUGUGUAA
RNAcentral lists this long non-coding RNA (340 nucleotides) under Phoenix dactylifera (date palm). RNAcentral describes it as "long non-coding RNA (PDAC_LNC002737)". The record is from RNAcentral. Lineage: Eukaryota; Viridiplantae; Streptophyta; Magnoliopsida; Arecales; Arecaceae.